GGCCUGGUGGUCUAGUAGUAUGAUUCCUUCUUAGGGCUCUUGUCUCGCAGCUCACUUGGAGGAGGUCCCGGGUUCAAUUCCCGGCCAGGCCC
Non-coding RNA from Obba rivulosa, 92 nucleotides. The record is from the annotation of a GenBank genome assembly. NCBI's taxonomy places the organism in Eukaryota, Fungi, Basidiomycota, Agaricomycetes, Polyporales, Gelatoporiaceae.